CGCGGGGUGGAGCAGUCCGGUAGCUCGUCAGGCUCAUAACCUGAAGGUCGUAGGUUCAAAUCCUACCCCCGCUACCA
This 77-nucleotide transfer RNA is filed under the name Acidiferrobacteraceae bacterium. Its description in RNAcentral is "tRNA-Met". It matches the Rfam family "tRNA". From Rfam's summary of the family: Transfer RNA (tRNA) molecules are approximately 80 nucleotides in length. Their secondary structure includes four short double-helical elements and three loops (D, anti-codon, and T loops). The record is from RNAcentral. Lineage: Bacteria; Pseudomonadati; Pseudomonadota; Gammaproteobacteria; Acidiferrobacterales; Acidiferrobacteraceae. RNAcentral also lists the same sequence under 2 other names.